UGCGUAGGCGGCGCGGAAAGUUGGGUGUGAAAUCCCUCGGCUCAACCGAGGAAUUGCGCUCAAAACUACCGUGCUCGAGGGAGAUAGAGGAGUGCGGAACUUAGGGUGGAGCGGUGAAAUGCGUUGAUAUCCUAGGGAACACCGGUGGCGAAAGCGGCACUCUGGAUCUCAUCUGACGCUGAUGCACGAAAGCUAGGGUAGCAAACGGGAUUAGAUACCCCGGUAGUCCUAGCCGUAAACGAUGAGCACUGGAUUGAAGGCCCCCUCAUAGGCUUUCAGUCGCAGAGAAAUUGUUUAGUGCUCCGCCUGGGGAGUAUGGUCGCAAGGCUGAA
Molecule: ribosomal RNA, 332 nt
Filed under: uncultured Pirellula sp.
Lineage: Bacteria; Pseudomonadati; Planctomycetota; Planctomycetia; Pirellulales; Pirellulaceae
Description: bacterial SSU rRNA
Rfam family: Bacterial small subunit ribosomal RNA
Source: RNAcentral